CCCUCUGUAGAAGAUAAGAGGACAAGAUGGAAAAAGAUGAUACUGACAGCUCUGGUUCAUCUUUGUGAAUAACAACAUCUGACAGGCCAAUUGCUCCAAGAGGCUUCAGGUAUUUAAAGAAUCAUUUUAAACAUUGCAUUUAGUCUUACAAUGUCCCAUAAGCUAUUCAUACACUUGAUAACUAAGGAAAUCUUGGUGGAGAUCAUGGACUAAAUGCAACACUGCCCAUGGUGCUUCAGUCUCUUGAAUCUAGCUACAGAAUCACUAGUGUGAGCACUGAAAAACAGUCUGGAUUCCAGAAACAUCCUUAGGUGAGCAACCCAAGGCAAAAAAUUAAAAAAAACUUUUUAAAAAAGUCUUUGUUAAGAUCCUCUCUGCUUUCAGAAAGUGUGAUUUUCUAGCAGUUCUCAAAUAUGUCAUUAGAGAGAUCAACAUGUGAACAUCAAGGGAAUAGGAUCAUGCAAUACUCGCUCUUAUCAGAUGUGAUCAUCAUUUCUAUAAAAGGGAGGCAAGUUCCUAAGAGGCCCCAUAAGUUACCAAGAUGCCCCAAUCUAGCCAUUUCAUUCCAUUUAAGUAUUCCCAAAUCUGAGGUGUUUACCAGCCCCUUGUAUGCGAAAUCUAGAGCCUCCUGAGAAAGCUACUCAUCCCACAGCCUCUGGGGGAACUGGGGGUCCCAGUCCCCAGUGGGGAUACACAGUGUGGUACCACAAUUCCAAUCAAGUCGAAUAGGAAAUGAGCUGGGUCCAGUUUCUCCCCAUGAGAGGGUUACCACAGGCUGGUAGACUGGGUAAAAGAAAAGCAGUGGAGUUCAAGUGGUGUCAGAAAGCCUGAAUUCCAACUCUGCCAAGUACCAGUGUCUAUCUUCUGAUCAAUCUCAAACACCUACAACAGUAAUGGCAUUAAGGAACCAGACAAUUAGAAGGACUUUUCCUAAGGAGAUCCAGCACUUCAUCUUUAACCAAUAUCCAACAGUUCCCCUGGAAUGAAGAGGAGUAAAGAAGUCCUACUAUUGCUUCUCCAUCUCACCAUUAGACUGGAGUUCAUUACCUUUUCAAUUGCACUUUUCAGCUUGUUCAUAUGAGAUUCAAAGAGAGGGAAGUGAGAGAAAAAGAAAUCCUGGAAAUUCUUCUGUGCCUCCUCUUUUUCAGACAGGGAGAAGAUGAUGCUGAUGGCAAUUUUCUUUCUUCGAACUAUAGCAGGAUUAGAACUGCAGGUCUCAUCAGCCAAGCUAAAAGUCUCCUCUGUUGACCUGUGCACAGAAAAAUUGGUCUGUUAGGUUGGCAUGUAUCUGAUCAUACUGACAGAGUUAAUCCUGCAACCCUAAAGAAUUACCCUAGAGUCAAGGCAAGUCAGAGAUGCUUCAUAGUUUGAAUUUGGAAACAUUCAAAAAGCCUAUAAACUACCCAUACCCUUUAAGACAGUUUGAGACAUUAUUAGGUAUGUACCCAUAAUGAAAUAAUAUGCAUCAAGAUAUAAAAAAUAAAAAACUGAAAACAAA
Molecule: non-coding RNA, 1498 nt
Organism: Monodelphis domestica (gray short-tailed opossum)
Lineage: Eukaryota; Metazoa; Chordata; Mammalia; Didelphimorphia; Didelphidae
Source: RefSeq, a predicted model, not a curated record